AUUCUUUCUCCCCAGGCAGCUGUGUCUGUGUUCUUGUCUCGCAGAAUUAGAGCCCAUUGGUUGGGAAAAAUGCCACCACCAUCAGACAUUGUCAAAGUGGCCAUUGAGUGUCCAGAUGCUAAUGCCCAGCUCCUUGAAAUCGACCAGAAAUGGCCCCUGGCAUCCAUUAUCAAGGAAGUUUGUGAUGGGUGGUCAUUGCCAAACCCAGAAUAUUACACCCUCCGUCAUGCAGAUGGUCCUCAGCUGUACAUCACUGAACAGACUCGCAGUGACGUUAAGAAUGGGACAAUCGGGCCAGGCGUGGUGGCUCACGCCUGUAAUCCUGCACUUUGGGAGGCUGAGGCGGGCGGAUCAUGAGGUCAGGAGAUCAAGACCAUCCUGGCUAACACGGUGAAACCCCGUCUCUACUAAAAAUACAAAAAAAAAAAAUUAGCUGGACAUUGUGGCGGGUGCCUGUAGUCCCAGCUACUCGGGAGGCUGAGGCAGGAGAAUGGCGUGAACCCGGGAGGUGGAGCUUGCGGUGAGCUGAGAUCGUGCCACUGCACUCCAGCCUGGGCGACAAAGCGAGACUCCGUCUCAAAGAAAAAAUUAAAAUUGGGCAAUCUUACAACUGGCUAUCUCCCCGGUAGGUAUUCUUCCUUCCUUAGGAGUUUAUUCAUGUCACAAAAAAAUAAGAGCACCUACCAUGGGCCAGGCUCUGUUCUAGAAACAAGGACCCUGGAGAUUAAAAAGUCAGUCCUUUUGUAUCAGGACAUAAUAUAGGAAGACAAGAGUGUCUUGGUUCUCACCACCUAGUGGGGAGUAAACACAUGCAAUCGAAGGCCUCUCUCAAGGAUCUUGAGAGAAAGUUGCUUAGAGAGCUGUGGGAACUCACAAAGGGGACCACCUAACUCAGCCUGGAGAUUUCCAGAAAGCCUUGCCAGAGAAAGGGUCACUUAGCUCAGAUGUUAAAGGAUGAGCAACAAUUAGCUGGAGAAAUAAGAAAAGGAAAAGUAUUCCAGUCAGAGAAAUCAGCAUAUGCCAAGGCACAGAGGUUUGCUGUGUUUGGGAAAAGCGGAAGUGCUGGGUGGCUGGAGGCUUGUAGCAAUCAUUGAAAAGCCAGAUAUUCAAUGUUCCUUGAUGGCCUGCUCAUAGGUUUGAACUCUGUCCAGAAGGAAACUAGGGAUAUUGAAGGAUUUUAAGCAGGAAGAUAUGUUAUGUUUAGAUUUUAAGUUUUAGAAAGAUGACUUUAGUGACCGUGUGGAAGAUGGGCCUUAAGAAGUAGGUUGGUGGUAGUAGGAACAUUUUAAGAGGCAAAUGAGGAAUGUUAACAGCCCAGUGAAGGCAAAUGGUAAUGGAGAUGAAAGGAUAUGAAGAGUAUCUAGGAGGUAACCUUUAUGAGUAUGGUGAUAUGCUGGAUGUGGAAGGAAAGGGGAGAAUGGAGAAUGACCCUGGUUUUUGCAAGAGCAGCCCUUAAAGGUCACCAAGGAAGCAACCAGAAGGGUAGAAAGAACACCAAGAAUGUGAAGUGACUGAGGAGCUUUGGGCAGGGAGAGUGUCAGGAUUGAGGAAAAUAUGGUCUGCAAUUUUUAAUGAGCAGAGAAAUUUAGCAAACUGAGAACAGAAAAGCUGUCUUAUGACUUGGGAGGUGAAGAGGACCUUGGUGAUCUUCACAAAAAAGUUAUGGUGGGGAGGCCAGGUGGCCAGACUGAAGGGAGUCAAGUAAAAGAAAGGUAAAAAAGUAAGGACUUUGAGUCUACUGCUGUAUCAAGAAGCUUGGUUUUAAAAGAAAACACAAAGAAGGUGAUAACGUGAAGGGGAUGUAGAGUCAAAAAGAUGCGCUUUUUAAAAGCCCAUAAAGCAUUCAUGUGUUUCACAAAUCAAAAAUUUUCACAGAGAUAUAGCAAAAGGUCUCCCUGCAACUCCUGUCCCCAUCUGCCCAGUUCCCCACCUUUCUGACCCUUCCUGGUUGUUUCUGUUGCAAUUUUUUAUGUGCCCUUAAGAAUGUGUUAAGAUGGAAGAGAGGAAGGUUGAAGGUGCAGGAAAGCAGGUAAUCAAUAGAACAGGAUCUUAGUGGACCAGGAGAGGAAGGACUCAAAGCCCAGGUAGAGAGAAUCACCUUGACUGCUAAGCCCCUGAGGAAGACAGCCAAUAUGAUUGCACCUUUGGUUACAUUCGUAGAAGCACAGCUAGCAAAAUAAGGGCGUGAUGGCACCUCUUUUCUUGGUGCAGAGAGAGAGACUGGUUCAUCUGAGAGGAGGGGAGGUAUGAAGUGAUAUCAGCCAACCUUUACUGAAUGCCUGUAUUUUGCUAAAUACUUUGUGUAAUUAAAUCAUCUGAUCUUUACAAACAUCCCAUGAGAUAGGUACUCUUGAUAGCCCCAUUCUGUAGACAAGGAAACCAAGGCUUAGAGAGGUUAAAUUACUUGCCACUUGUCACACAGCUAAUAAAGUAGCCAAGCCUGCUCUCAGACCCAGGUCUGUCUGACUCUAGGCCCAUAUUCCUCCCAUCAUGUUCUUCUGCCUCCCCCUCUUCUCCUGAACUCUUCUCAUCUUAAGGACUUCAUUCUUCCCUCCUAAGCUCUGGUUAAUUUAAUAUGACAGCCUGGGAGUUACACACUUCUAAGGAAGUGCCGACACAUUUCAGACCUCUUGCACAGUGCAGUUGCCUUUCCCAGAAGCACAUCUCUCUGGAGCGGGAGGCAGCAGCCCAGAAAUGCUGUAUCAGGAGGAAAAUUGACAGAGUUGGAAGUUUCUAAGUGGGAUGCAGACCAGUGCUCUUCAGAUUGUUCUAUGCUGUGACCUUUUCCUGUGGCGCACGUUUUGUCCACUGUAGACAGAAUGAGGGCUUCUCUAUCACAGAGAGCAUUGUGCUGUGAAGGGCCAGCUUUGUAAUAGUAAAAGAGGAGAGGCAAAGGGGAGAGGGACAACAGGCCUGACUCCGUGGUGGCAGCAGGAAUUGGGCUCCAGUCACUUGCUUAACACUGAGAAAAAGAAGACAGGAGUGUUUUUGCUCUUAAGGCUCUUCCUUUCUAGUGGAGAACAUUAAAUUAACACCCAAAAAACAGUAUGAUGAAACAGUAAAUUGUGAAGUACUAUGUACUAACAAGCUCAGCAGAAGGAAAGCCCAGUGAAUGCUAGAGGAGGGAUUUUAGCCACAGUUUGCAGAAAAGGAGGCAGGCAUCCUGCUAGGAAAAGUUCAUGUGCCAGGAGGAGGUUUUGUCUUCAUCAGCCUUCAUUUUCAAAAAAUGAUUGGGAAAUUGUUUCUGGCUCCUUGAUAUUCUUAAAAUUUCUCCAGAACUAUUACUUUGAGGAAUAAUCAUAUGGAUUUUGAGAGAAAGUUUUUAAAAAAUGACCAAGCUUUUCACAUUUUAGGAUUAAAAGGGACCUUAGAGAACAUUAGAUUAAAUUCUUCACUCAAUGCAAGAAUCCCUUCUACAGCAUCUUUGACAGAUAGUUGUCCAUAUUCUCCUUGAUUGCUUCUGGUGACAGGGAGCUUAAUACCUCAAGAGAAACCUCUUCUGCUGUCUAACAGUUUUAUAAAUUUUAUUUUAUUUUAUUUAUUUUUUUUGAGAUGGAGUCUUGCUCUGUCGCCCAGGCUGGAGUGCAGUGGCAUGAUCUCGGCUCACUGCAACCUCCGCCUCCUGGGUUCAAGCGAUUCUCCUGCCUUAGCCUCCUGAGUAGCUGGGAUUACAGGUGCAUGCCACCAUGCCUGGCUAAUUUUUGCAUUUUUAGUAGAGACGGGAUUUCACCAUGUUGGUCAGGUUGGUCUCGAACUCCCGACCUCGUGAUCUGCCUGCCUCGGCCUCCCAAAGUGCUGGGAUUAUGGGCGUGAGCCACUGCGCCUGGCCAGUUUUAUUUUAUUUAUUUUUUUUAUUUUUGAGAGAGUGUCUUGCUCUAUGACCCAGGCUGCAGCGCAGUGGCACAGUCCUAGCUUACUGCAACCUUGAACUCCUGGGCUCAAGCAAUCUUCCCACCUCAGCCUUCUGAGUAGCUAGGACUACAGGUGUGCACCACCACACCUGGCUCAUUUUUAAAAAUUUUUUGUGGAGACAGGUUGUCACUCUCUUGCCCAAGCUGGUGUCUAACUUCUGGUCUCAAGCAAUCCUCCUGCCUUGGCCUUUCAAAGCCUUGGGAUUAUAGGCAUGAGCCACUGCACCCAGCCAGACAGCUUUAAUUAAUAGAAACCUUCCUCUAUUAAACCAAUAUCUGUUUCUCUGUGACUCAUUAGUGGGCCUCCCAGAUGUCUCCGGUAUUCCCUUGGUAGGAAUUUUUUUAAUCCAUAGACCAGAGUGGUACAGAAAAGAUACAGAUAAAUACAGAUUGGUUUUGGCACACUAAUAACUCCCUGAUUGAUCCCACAAUUUAGCAACUCCUAAGCAGUGUUAAAAAAGCUAGUUCUGCCUCAGGUUUGGAUGUCCAUAGAAGAGCCUCUGUGAGCUAUCCACAGAGUAGUAACCUGCUCCAAGGAGCAGAUGGCACAUGUCUUGUCCCUGGUUUCCUAGUCCGAGGCCGCACGCCCAGCUGAUGGAGAGGACCCAGUCAUCCAACAUGGAGACCCGGCUGGAUACCAUGAAGGUGCUGGCCAAGCUCUCUGCUGACGUGACUUUUGCUACUGAGUUCAUCAACAUGGACGGCAUCAUCGUGCUGAUGAGGCUUGGGGAAAAUGGAACCAAACUCUUGUCCCAGUGAGUAUGACUAAGGUCUCAUUCCAGGGACUUCAGUGAUUUACUACAUCCCACAGGGCAUCCUAGUCUCAUUUCCAUCAAGUCACAUAAGGAGUUUAUUGAAUACCACCUAUGUACAGAGCAGUGUGCAAAGCACUAGAGUCCAUACCGAGAGAUAUAAUUCCAUGUUGUUCUUCUAAAUCUUGCAGUAUAGUUGGGCUCUCACAAAUUAAAUAAUAGUACAAAACAGUACUGUGCCAAGUGAGCAGUAAAAAUAGGGGCUAGAGAAGUCAGUAGGAGAGCGGUCAGGUCGUGACAGACCUGUUAAUUGCUGGAAAUGCUUGGUCUGAUGAGGGUUACUGAGCACAUGGUCCAAUAUGUCCCAGGUGUGUGUCCAUCUGUAACCACCCCCUGCUCCCUCUUUCUCAAGUCACCUUCCACCACACACACACACACACACACACACACACACACACACACACACACACUACUCUU
Pan paniscus (pygmy chimpanzee) is the source of this 5140-nucleotide long non-coding RNA. NCBI's taxonomy places the organism in Eukaryota, Metazoa, Chordata, Mammalia, Primates, Hominidae. The record is from Ensembl.